CGCUCAUGUACACGUUUCAAAAAUUGACCCAUGCAUGUCGCGGUAAAGUCUGUUACACGGCGAAGCUGCAAAUGGUCCGUUACAGCACCCAUCGCUUAUUUUGGGGUCGCUAAUUUCAUGGAUAGCCAAAAUCAAAUUAAAGCUAAGGCAUGCGCCCAACCCCGUCGUCGGGAAAGGGCUGUGCUUAUGAAGUACAAAGCCAACUCAAGCUCUGCCUGGUCUUUUGGUGACUCGGGAUAAGCGAACGACUCGCAUAGCACCCGCUGGCAAUGAACCAGCGAGUUUCUGACCUAUAACCUUUCAACGGUAGGGUUGGGGCCUACUGUGGCCAUGCCGGGUCACGGAUAAUUUAAAUUCAAUUCUGGAAAAGGAGCCUGAAAAACGGCUACCUCAUCUAAGGAAAAAAUCAAGCACGCAAAUUCCCCAAUCCUGAUACAGGGAGGCCGCGACAAAAAAUAAGGUGACUGGGCCACAACGUCUUCUGAUGGGAAUUGACCAGCUUAAAAUCAUGUGAAACCAUUUUACAAAUUCCGAUU
This 536-nucleotide ribosomal RNA is filed under the name uncultured eukaryote. RNAcentral describes it as "bacterial SSU rRNA". The stretch from base 14 to 455 matches the Rfam family "Eukaryotic small subunit ribosomal RNA", at positions 34 to 476 of the family's 1831-position model. The record is from RNAcentral.